Molecule: transfer RNA, 68 nt
Filed under: Xerotyphlops vermicularis (Eurasian blind snake)
Lineage: Eukaryota; Metazoa; Chordata; Lepidosauria; Squamata; Typhlopidae
Description: tRNA-Pro
Source: RNAcentral
CAAGAGGUAGUUUAAAUUAAGAAUCCUAGUUUUGGGGACUAGGGGUGGGUUUUGGCCUUCUCUUGAGA